GAUGAAGAACGUAGUGAAAUGCGAUAACUAAUGUGAAUUGCAGAAUUCAGUGAAUCAUCGAGUCUUUGAACGCACAUUGCGCCCCCUGGUAUUCCGGGGGGCAUGCCUGUCCGAGCGUCAUUGCUGCCCUCAAGCACGGCUUGUGUGUUGGGCCCCGUCCUCCGAUCCCGGGGGACGGGCCCGAAAGGCAGCGGCGGCACCGCGUCCGGUCCUCGAGCGUAUGGGGCUUUGUCACCCGCUCUGUAGGCCCGGCCGGCGCUUGCCGAUCAACCCAAAUUUUUAUCCAGGUUGACCUCGGAUCAGGUAGGGAUACCCGCUGAACUUAAGCAUAUCAAUAAGCGGAGGA
Molecule: unclassified non-coding RNA, 346 nt
Filed under: soil metagenome
Description: partial contains 5.8S ribosomal RNA, internal transcribed spacer 2, and large subunit ribosomal RNA
Rfam family: 5.8S ribosomal RNA (bases 1-120)
Source: RNAcentral